GGAACUACAGCACUUGGAAAAAGCUUUUCUUCAGAACGGAUAUUCCCAGUUGGACAUCAAAAAAGCUGUAGGAGUGGGACGUGUUACGUUACAGCCGGUAAAACAGGUAGAUAUUAAAUUGACUAAUCUUAAAAAAUGGCAGCUAAUCAACCUUUUUGUCUUUUGGUAAGAAUGCGAGAGUCCAAUGGCGAAUUGCGCUGAAAAAGGAAAUAAUUUUAAUGUUAACCAACCAAUCAUUUUAAUGUUAAAAUUAUGAAAACGGACAAACAAAUUUACUAGAGAAGUUAAACGUGGUAAAACGUCGAGGGAAAAGCUCUGGUAUGUUAGUAGAAAAUAAAACAGGAAAAUGGUAAUGUAUGUUAUGACAAUGGUAAGAGUUACCGAUACUAUAAUUUUAUAUAAUUUAUAUUUGAAAUUUAUUGCAUAAUUUACUAAUAUAAUGUUUUUAGACACCUUCGUCAUAGAAUAGCAUAGGAUUUUCUGUUACAGCUUGAGCCUAAGUGUGUCGUAGGAUACCGAUACCCUCUAGGUGAUAGCUCUUGAUUACCUUUUGAUAAAGAAUUCGUUCUUUAUUGUGAAAUAAGAGCACUCUUUAUCAAUCUGUAAUAGAAGACGUGAGAAAAUUCGGUUUUUCCAAAACCCCUGAAUUUGAAGCGUACCUAAUGAGGAUCGUACUGAACAAAAAUAGGACUUUGAUGAAACAAGAAAGGACAUACGACUCAAACAGCACUAUACCAACUUGUAAGUGAGUAAACAGCCAGACUGCAGUCCCAGACAACUCACACCGCCAGCUCUAGAAGGUACAUAAGAGAGCCCAUUUCCCAAACCUCAUCGAUAACAAAAAAUAAUUAUAUAUAAAUCAA
Molecule: long non-coding RNA, 863 nt
Organism: Dendroctonus ponderosae (mountain pine beetle)
Lineage: Eukaryota; Metazoa; Arthropoda; Insecta; Coleoptera; Curculionidae
Exons: 3
Source: RefSeq, a predicted model, not a curated record